UGUGUCAUGCUGCUGCCGCACA
This 22-nucleotide non-coding RNA is filed under the name Mus musculus (house mouse). The record is from RNAcentral. Lineage: Eukaryota; Metazoa; Chordata; Mammalia; Rodentia; Muridae.